CAGUAGCCGCGGGAAUACGGAGGAUCCAAGCGUUAUCCGGAAUCAUUGGGUUUAAAGGGUCCGUAGGCGGUCUUGUAAGUCAGUGGUGAAAGCCCAUCGCUCAACGGUGGAACGGCCAUUGAUACUGCAGGACUUGAAUUAUUGGGAAGUAACUAGAAUAUGUAGUGUAGCGGUGAAAUGCUUAGAGAUUACAUGGAAUACCAAUUGCGAAGGCAGGUUACUACCAAUUGUUUGACGCUGAUGGACGAAAGCGUGGGUAGCGAACAGGAUUAGAUACCCGAGUAGUCCCUGUCUCUUAUAC
RNAcentral lists this ribosomal RNA (301 nucleotides) under uncultured bacterium. RNAcentral describes it as "partial 16S ribosomal RNA". It matches the Rfam family "Bacterial small subunit ribosomal RNA", at positions 509 to 807 of the family's 1533-position model. The record is from RNAcentral.